UGGGGAAUUUUGGACAAUGGGCGAAAGCCUGAUCCAGCAAUGCCGCGUGUGUGAAGAAGGCCUUCGGGUUGUAAAGCACUUUUGUCCGGAAAGAAAUCCUUGGCUCCAAUACAGUCGGGGGAUGACGGUACCGGAAGGAUAAGCACCGGCUAACUACGUGCCAGCAGCCGCGGUAAUACGUAGGGUGCAAGCGUUAAUCGGAAUUACUGGGCGUAAAGCGUGCGCAGGCGGUUUGCUAAGACCGAUGUGAAAUCCCCGGGCUCAACCUGGGAACUGCAUUGGUGACUGGCAGGCUAGAGUAUGGCAGAGGGGGGUAGAAUUCCACGUGUAGCAGUGAAAUGCGUAGAGAUGUGGAGGAAUACCGAUGGCGAAGGCAGCCCCCUGGGCCAAUACUGACGCUCAUGCACGAAAGCGUGGGGAGCAAACAGGAUUAGAUACCCUGGUAGUCCACGCCCUAAAACGAUGUCAACUAGUUGUUGGGGAUUCAUUUCCUUAGUAACGUAGCUAACGCGUGAAGUUGACCGCCUGGGGAGUACGGUCGCAAGAUUAAAACUUAAAUGAAUUGACGGGGUCAUAGCUGUUUCCU
Molecule: ribosomal RNA, 586 nt
Filed under: uncultured bacterium
Lineage: Bacteria
Description: partial 16S ribosomal RNA
Rfam family: Bacterial small subunit ribosomal RNA
Source: RNAcentral